UAAGGAACUCGGCAAAUUAACCCUGUAACUUCGGGAAAAAGGGUGCCCGCCGCAAGGCGGGCCGCAGAGAAUUGGUCCAGGGCGACUGUUUAACAAAAACACAGGGCUCUGCUAAAUCGAAAGAUGAUGUAUAGGGCCUGACACCGUGCCCCGGUGCUGGAAGGUUAAGGAAGGGGGUUAGCGCAAGCGAAGCUCUCGACUGAAGCCCCAGUAAACGGCGGCCGUAACGAUAAACGGGUCCCUAAAGGUAGCGAAAAUUCCUUGUCGGGUAAGUUCCGACCUGCACGAAUGGUGUAACGAUCUGGACGCUGUCUCGGCCAUGAGCUCGGUGAAAUUGUAGCAUCGGUGAAGAUGCCGAUUACCCGCAACGGGACGGAAAGACCCCGUGCACCUUCACUACAACUUUGCAUUGAAUUCGGUUAAAUGAUGUGUAGUAUAGCUGGGAGACUAUGAAGCAGUGGCGCUAGCCAUUGUGGAGUCAACGUUGAAAUACCAGCCUUAUUUGAUUGGUUCUAACCCCUUAACGGGUAGACAGUGCAUGGUGGGUAGUUUGACU
This 556-nucleotide ribosomal RNA is filed under the name uncultured bacterium. Its description in RNAcentral is "bacterial LSU rRNA". It matches the Rfam family "Bacterial large subunit ribosomal RNA", at positions 1706 to 2275 of the family's 2925-position model. The record is from RNAcentral.